CUACGGAGGGGGCUAGCGUUGUUCGGAAUUACUGGGCGUAAAGCGUACGUAGGCGGACUGAUCAGUUGGGGGUGAAAUCCCAGGGCUUGACCCUGGAACUGCCUUCAAUACUGUCAGUCUUGAGAUUGGAAGAGGUGAGUGGAAUUCCUAGUGUAGAGGUGAAAUUCAUAGAUAUUAGGAGGAACACCAGUGGCGAAGGCGGCUCACUGGUCCAAUACUGACGCUGAGGUACGAAAGCGUGGGGAGCAAACAGGAUUAGAUACCCUAGUAGUCC
RNAcentral lists this ribosomal RNA (274 nucleotides) under uncultured bacterium. RNAcentral's name for it is "partial 16S ribosomal RNA". It matches the Rfam family "Bacterial small subunit ribosomal RNA", at positions 523 to 796 of the family's 1533-position model. The record is from RNAcentral.